Molecule: ribosomal RNA, 467 nt
Filed under: uncultured bacterium
Lineage: Bacteria
Description: partial 16S ribosomal RNA
Rfam family: Bacterial small subunit ribosomal RNA
Source: RNAcentral
GACGAACGCUGGCGGCGUGCUUAACACAUGCAAGUCGAACGGAAAGGCCUCUUUCGGGGGGUACUCGAGUGGCGAACGGGUGAGUAACACGUGAGUAACCUGCCCUUGACUUUGGGAUAACUUCAGGAAACUGGGGCUAAUACCGGAUAGGAGCUCCUGCUGCAUGGGGGGGGUUGGAAAGUUUCGGCGGUUGGGGAUGGACUCGCGGCUUAUCAGCUUGUUGGUGGGGUAGUGGCUUACCAAGGCUUUGACGGGUAGCCGGCCUGAGAGGGUGACCGGCCACAUUGGGACUGAGAUACGGCCCAGACUCCUACGGGAGGCAGCAGUGGGGAAUAUUGCACAAUGGGUGGAAGCCUGAUGCAGCAACGCCGUGUGCGGGAUGACGGCCUUCGGGUUGUAAACCGCUUUCGCUCAUGACGAAGCUUUGUGUGACGGUAGUGGGUAAAGAAGCACCGGCUAACUACGUG